This 460-nucleotide ribosomal RNA is filed under the name uncultured bacterium. Its description in RNAcentral is "partial 16S ribosomal RNA". It matches the Rfam family "Bacterial small subunit ribosomal RNA", at positions 338 to 795 of the family's 1533-position model. The record is from RNAcentral.
CCUACGGGGGGCAGCAGUGAGGAAUAUUGGUCAAUGGACGAGAGUCUGAACCAGCCAAGUAGCGUGAAGGAUGACUGCCCUAUGGGUUGUAAACUUCUUUUAUAUGGGAAUAAAAUGUUCCACGUGUGGGAUUUUGUAUGUACCAUAUGAAUAAGGGUCGGCUAACUCCGUGCCAGCAGCCGCGGUAAUACGGAGGAUCCGAGCGUUAUCCGGAUUUAUUGGGUUUAAAGGGAGCGUAGGUUGAUUGUUAAGUCAGUUGUGAAAGUUUGCGGCUCAACCGUAAAAUUGCAGUUGAAACUGGCAGUCGUGAGUACAGUAGAGGUGGGCGGAAUUCGUGGUGUAGCGGUGAAAUGCUUAGAUAUCACGAAGAACUCCGAUUGCGAAGGCAGCUCACUGGACUGCAACUGACACUGAGGCUCGAAAGUGUGGGUAUCAAACAGGAUUAGAUACCCGAGUAGUC